Molecule: ribosomal RNA, 617 nt
Filed under: Terfezia boudieri
Lineage: Eukaryota; Fungi; Ascomycota; Pezizomycetes; Pezizales; Pezizaceae
Description: eukaryotic LSU rRNA
Rfam family: 5.8S ribosomal RNA (bases 217-370)
Source: RNAcentral
GAAGGAUCAUUACUGAGACACUGAUUUUUAACGUUUUUUAUAUCCCAUUGUUUACUUACCCUGUUGCUUUCACUGGACAGAUUUCACCUUGUGUGGGUCCUUUGGCUUGUGUGAAAUACCACUUGCCAAAGAGUUGCCUGUGGUAAGACCUAUUUAUCAAAACUUGAGUUUCAAUAAACACAAUUGUCUGAAUAUUUUUUUUCUUUAAUGAAAUAAAACUUUCAACAACGGAUCUCUAGGCUCUUGCAUCGAUGAAGAACGCAGUGAAAUGCGAUAAGUAAUGUGAAUUGCAGAAUCUCGUGAAUCAUUGAAUCUUUGAACGCACAUUGCGCCCUAUGGUAUUCCAUUGGGCAUGCCUGUCUGAGCGUCAGCUCCCCCUCCACUCAAGAAUCAUUUUAUAUGAUACUUGGAUUACUUUGGAGAUGUAACUGUAUAUUAAGUUGCCCUCCAGAAAUUCAUUGGCAGUAUGGCUUUGUACUUGGACCAGACGUAAUAGUAAUAAAAUCGUUUGCUUUGGGUAUAAUUGAUUGUACUUGCCCUUAACUUCUCACCCAUUUUUAUCUUGGGUGACCUCAGAUCAGAGCUAUGUUGGAUACCCGCUGAACUUAAGCAUAUCA